UUUCAAACUUCUUUUUUUAAACAGGUCUUUGCAGAAACAGAAGCACAGAAGGGAGCAUAUAGAGAAUUAACACUGCAAGCUUAUCAAGAAGCAUUCAUUAGCAAUUCUGCAGCUUCCUAAGAUAUUUUUUAAAUAAAUUUCAUUUUAC
Molecule: long non-coding RNA, 148 nt
Organism: Balaenoptera musculus (blue whale)
Lineage: Eukaryota; Metazoa; Chordata; Mammalia; Artiodactyla; Balaenopteridae
Exons: 4
Source: RefSeq, a predicted model, not a curated record